This 4549-nucleotide long non-coding RNA is filed under the name Marmota monax (woodchuck). Lineage: Eukaryota; Metazoa; Chordata; Mammalia; Rodentia; Sciuridae. The record is from RNAcentral.
GACCGAGGGGUGGGACACAGGUGGGCCAAAGAAGUAAUCUGGUCAGGAAGGACUUCUGAGUCAGCACCUUUUUGCUGGGGGCUGUUCAUUAACAUUUCUUUGAGGUGGACUUUGGCCUAGGGCCUUUUCGGACUUCAUUAACAUUCCUUGAGUUGUCCUGCGUUUCCCGGAAUCAUUGCCAGCAUGGCCUCCAUUUUAGAUUUCACUCGGUAUUAGACCCGAUUUACCUAACUACACUGACUACCUAACUUUAAAUCUGGCUUCACUAUUUUCAGUUUUGUGUGAGCAAGUUUUUCUAGUGUAGGAAGAUGUAAAGGUAUGAAAUUUUGUGAAUUGUAUCUUAAACUUGUAUCAUAAUUUUCAACAUCCAAACCUGAAAAUUGUGACUUAUGGUUAAAAUGCAUUAGGCAUGAGGCUUCUCCUCAGAAUCCCAGUUUUUCUUGCUCCUUCCAGACCUCAGGCAGGAUUUAAGUUGAAAUGCAAAUAGAAGAAGCCUGCAAGCUCAGUAGGAGACUGAGCUGAGGCCCAAGGGAAAAAAAAAGUAAAGGUGUCUUUUACCUGAACUCAAACUAGAUUAAAACAAAAAGUAAAUUGUGUGGUAUUUACUAAUAACUGGCCAGUCAUUUUUUUCUAGGACUUUUGCUUUUUCUUAAUUCUGUAUUUUUUUGAGCUCAUGAUUUUGAUCCUACAGACCUAAGUUUUCUAAUCCAUUUUUGAUCAACUGUGGAAUUUUUUAAACAUUGCAAUGGAGAUUUCACCUGAGAAAAGCUACAAAGCCUUGUGUUAUGUGUGCACACUUGUGUUAUGUGUUGUAUGUCUGUAUGUGGGUAUGUCAUAUAUCAUGCAAUGAUAUGGCAAUUGGCAGAUAUAUGAGGAGCCUCAUGAAAUUAAAAAAAAAAAAUGGAUCCAAAUAUCUUUGAUUCACGUGAUUCAAAUGGUUCAAUUUAAAUUUGGUAAAUAGAUAAAAGUAAAGAUGUCUUUAAAAUUAAACUUAUAAGUUUUUCUAGGUGUUCAAAAAAACUAAUAAAAUGUUGAUGCCUAUGAAAAAAUCUGCCUAAAUUCAGAAAUUUACAAGUAUUGUUUCAAAAUGUGAACAGAAGGAGGUUAACAGAUGGAAAAGAGAAACUAGAAGGUUCUAGAUAUGGAUUUAAUAGAGGUAAAAUGUGUUUCUGGACAAGAGAGUCUAUGUGAUUAAGUAAAUAAGAGGGUUUAAGUAAGUGAUGAAGAAGGUCUGUGUAAGUUGGUUAUAUAUGUAAGUUUUUUGAGCAAGUAAUCUUAAAGAAAUUAAAAAUUAUACAACUAUGGUUAAACAACAACUAUUAUUUUUCAAUAUUGUAAUAUGUUAUUUCUUUAAAAGCUAAAUUUGGUUAAUAUAAAAUCAUAGAUGUAAUUGUGGUGCUAUUAAUGUGUUCAUAGACUUGUAUACAAGUCUAUAAGGUAGAAGCUUUAAAAGAGCAUUAUAUCAAUCUGGUGUUCUAAAGUUGUAUGGUAAUUUUAGGCUUAAAAGAAAAACAUGUUGGAGAUUUAUUUAUAUCAUUAUGUUCUAUAACUGGACUUGUUAUCAAUAAGAUAUGUAAAGUCCUAUGUUACUUUUCACACUGAGAUACAAUUUAAAUGUAUUUUUAAGUUAAUGAGAGCCUAAGCUGUAUGAAGGUUUUAUUGCAAAACACAAAACUACUUUGCUACUUUGCUAUAAAAGGUUAAAAUCUUUAAGCCUUUCUUUAAUUCAUGUUUUAGAUGUGAUACUAUAUUGUGUUAGCUAAUAUUCAUGUGAACUUGAGCAACAAUUUAUGUAGGCUUUGUAAAAUGAUGUUUAAAAAGCAAAAAUCAGUUUCAGAACUACAGUACUUAAGAUUUAUGAAGAGCCCUGCCUUACCUGAGGUAAAGCUCUGUGUCCCAUCUCACUACAUGUAAAAAUGACUAUGAAAGAAGUAGGCCAAAUUUCAGUACAUUUAAAGUUGUGUCCAAAACUUGGUUUUUGUCAUGAUUACUAGGAUCUCAAACAGGGGAUUAUAAUGUAUAACUCUAUCAAAAUUCAAGGUAGCUAUUGCAUGAACUAAAUAUGUUUUUACUCUUGUUAAUUUUAUUUUGUAGUUUUCUGAUAAAUGGUCUAAAGAUUGCCUGUUAAUGUUUUGCAGAGGUACUGCUUUAAGAACACACAACCUGGGUUGAUUUAAGAUAAUGAGUUAUCACCUACAGGAUAGAGAGAUAGACAUUAAAGCCCAGUACUCUUAAUAAAAGGCUGUUGAAAUUUAUUUGCUGGAUGUUUAAGAUUAAGUUUUAAAAUUAAAGUUAAAUUAAAAGGGCCAAGAAAACCAAUGUUUGGCUCUUGCCCUCUGAGUCAGUCUGAAUCCAGGGUACAGGGGACAUCUCUAAAGAGCUUUGCAACUCUUGGCCACAUAACCUCCCAAUCAGAGAGAUUAAUGAGACCACUGGAGAACCAAAAGCCAAUCAGUGCAUUUGCUAUGAAGAGGCGGGUCAUCAGAUAAGGGAGACAUCCCUGAUGCUUCUAAGGGAAGCCACAUGGUCAAGCAAGGCCUGGACCCAUCCUAGCGCAAAUGGCACUAAGCAGAACUGAGAAGCUGCUGUAAAGUUCCCCCAAGACUCCCAGGGAAACUCAGCUGUUAACAACAGAUAGAAACAAAAGUCAGUUUGACUGCUUCAUCUUAAACACUUAGCAAAGACAGUUAAAGCCAAAAACACAGUUAUUCCUGGGCAUUUUAAAUAAUAAUAAUAGUUAAAUGUAACUUCCAAGAAUAAGUAAACUGGAGGCUACAAAAGAGAUUCUUAGGCAGGAAUGCCUGAUAACUAUCAAAAGAAACUGCCAGAGUAGUUUUUAGUUUAAGGCCUACAGAUAUUCCUAACCUACACAGGUAGGCUUGGUGUUUGCUAGUAUGAUUAUGCAGCUCUAAGUAACAGAAUUUAAGGUUUCUCUAUUAGACACAGAGGUUAUACUAGUAAAAGGAUUUUACAAGAUCAGAUGACAUUAAAUUAUUAAACUGUAUCUUAUGGGGAAGGACAUCUGUAACCCUAAAAGUUAAAUGUUAUGUUUACAGUCCUGAUUACUGGGGAUGUUAAAGCCUGGUGAGGGGACUUAUUUAUGUACAGUGACAUGUUCCAGCUGCUGCAACAUUUAUUCAGUACUCAUGGUUUUUGUUUCUCUCAUAGAAGCACCCAUCCCCAGAUGACAACCUGUUUUUCCCCAACCAGACUUCAACUAGAACUGACUUCUAAAAGGGAACUCAUGUCCCCCAUGUCAUCGUCCCCCAUGUCAUUGAGCCCCCUCAUGUUCAACACCCCUUUUCAGCUCUGAAGCAGCCAGAACAAGCCAUCGCCCCUUCUCCUUACAGCAAUAAAGUUUCUAAAAUUAGGGGGGAAUAAAGCUAGAAAUGGAUAGGCAGUGUAGAUAGGUAAAUCGAGUCAGGUUGGAUCUAGGAGACCAAUUCUGAGUGAGUCUGGGAAGUUGAAGACUGUCCCCUGAGGAUUACUGUUUACCAAGAUGUAGAGCCAGCCCAAAUAGGCCCCCAACUGUGGAAACCAUGAUUGGUUCCCAAGUUUCCAGACAAAGGGGGGAAUGAAAAACCAGCCUCUAUCUCAGAGCAAAGCCUGUCCAAGGAAGGGACAUCACCUUUGUCCUUGGAAAAACCCACAGAGCACUCCUAGGCACAUUCCCACCCUGCUAAGUUGUUUAUCUACAAAUAACAGGAGAGAUCUGCUGCACCAGGUGUCCCUGACUCAGUCAGGCUAGGUGGGGAUCCAUAGCAAACCCCUAGCAGCCACCAAACAGCAUGAGACAGGGAAAUAUCUGGGAUGCCAGAUGACCCUCCCAGUAGUUUAUGGUGGUUGAUAACAUGUUGGGAAACCAUGUAGUUCAGGACGUACACCCCUCUUGGCUUAAACCAAUCAGUUCAAAUGAAUACCCCUUUUGUACUGACCAAUCACCCCUACCCAACUUGUUCCCACCAGUGAAUGUGCUAAUCAUGUUUUAGAGUUGUUAUUUGAUUUUCCCUCAGUGUGUGAUGAUUUGCUAAGAGAUGCUAUGAUGUAUGUGAAGUCCCUGCCUUCUCCAAAGAAUGUAUAAAACUGCUGCAAACCCUGGGCUGGGUCCUCUCAGGGUCACCAGUUGCUGUGUGCGCCCAGAGGACCGAGCUAGCUCGCAAUAAACACCUCUUUGCUGCUUACAUCGAUCUUGGGUCUCUGGUGGUCUUUUGGGGUCCCGAAUUCGAGCAUAACAAUAGAAAUCUGUUUACACUUGAAUCUAUCUAUGACUGAAGACAGUAACGAUGUCUUUAUCAGUGACCAUGUCUUUUUAAAUAUUUUUUACUUGUAAAUGGCUUAUUUAUUUAUUUAUUUAUUUAUUCAUAUGUGGUGCUGAAGAGCAAACCCAGGGCCUCACACAUGCCAGGCAAGUGCUCGACCACUGAACCACAUUUUUUUUUAAAGUUGUGAGAAAGUGAUGUGAUUCUAUUUUUUAAGAAACCAGCCUCUACCUCAGAGCAGGGUCUGUCCAAAGUGUGUGUGUGUGGCGGGGGGACCCUUGUCCUUGGAA